AUUGAACGCUGGCGGCGUGCCUAACACAUGCAAGUCGAGCGGUAACAGGUGUAGCAAUACAUGCUGACGAGCGGCGGACGGGUGAGUAACGCUUGGGAAUCUGCCUGUUAGUGGGGACAACCCGGGGAACUCGGGCUAAUACCGCAUACGCACUACGGUGGAAAGCCCGGGGACCGCAAGGCCUGGCGCUAACAGAUGAGCCCAAGUCGGAUUAGCUAGUUGGUAGGUAACGCCA
This 235-nucleotide ribosomal RNA is filed under the name uncultured bacterium. RNAcentral describes it as "partial 16S ribosomal RNA". It matches the Rfam family "Bacterial small subunit ribosomal RNA", at positions 30 to 265 of the family's 1533-position model. The record is from RNAcentral.